This 254-nucleotide ribosomal RNA is filed under the name uncultured bacterium. Its description in RNAcentral is "partial 16S ribosomal RNA". It matches the Rfam family "Bacterial small subunit ribosomal RNA", at positions 524 to 776 of the family's 1533-position model. The record is from RNAcentral.
UACGGGGGGAGCAAGCGUUGUUCGGAUUUACUGGGCGUAAAGGGCGCGUAGGCGGCCAGCACAAGUCAGUUGUGAAAUCUCCGGGCUUAACUCGGAAAGGUCAACUGAUACUGUGCGGCUAGAGUGCAGAAGGGGCAACUGGAAUUCUCGGUGUAGCGGUGAAAUGCGUAGAUAUCGGGAGGAACACCUGUGGCGAAAGCGGCGCACUGGACCACAACUGACGCUGAGGCGCGAAAGCUAGGGGAGCAAACAGG